ACUCCUACGGGAGGCAGCAGUGGGGAAUUUUGGACAAUGGGCGAAAGCCUGAUCCAGCAAUGCCGCGUGAGUGAAGAAGGCCUUCGGGUUGUAAAGCUCUUUUGUCAGGGAAGAAACGGUGAAAGCUAAUAUCUUUUGCUGAUGACGGUACCUGAAGAAUAAGCACCGGCUAACUACGUGCCAGCAGCCGCGGUAAUACGUAGGGUGCAAGCGUUAAUCGGAAUUACUGGGCGUAAAGCGUGCGCAGGCGGUUUUGUAAGUCUGAUGUGAAAUCCCCGGGCUCAACCUGGGAAUUGCAUUGGAGACUGCAAGGCUAGAAUCUGGCAGAGGGGGGUAGAAUUCCACGUGUAGCAGUGAAAUGCGUAGAUAUGUGGAGGAACACCGAUGGCGAAGGCAGCCCCCUGGGUCAAGAUUGACGCUCAUGCACGAAAGCGUGGGGAGCAAACAGGAUUAGAAACCCUUGUAGUCCCAUGA
Molecule: ribosomal RNA, 474 nt
Filed under: uncultured organism
Description: partial 16S ribosomal RNA
Rfam family: Bacterial small subunit ribosomal RNA
Source: RNAcentral